AAGACUCUACUUGACUAGCUGAGAGGAGGUGCAUGGCCGUCGUCAGUUCGUACUGUGAAGCAUCCUGUUAAGUCAGGCAACGAGCGAGACCCACGCCAACAGUUGCCAGCUCGUCCUCCGGGAUGGUGGGGGACACUGUUGGGACCGCCUCUGCUAAAGAGGAGGAAGGAAUGGGCAACGGUAGGUCAGCAUGCCCCGAAUUAUCUGGGCUACACGCGGGCUACAAUGGGUGGGACAAUGGGUAUCGACACCGAAAGGUGAAGGCAAUCUCCUAAACCCAUCCGUAGUUCGGAUUGUGGGCUGCAACUCGCCCACAUGAAGCUGGAAUCUGUAGUAAUCGUGUCUCAAAAUGGCACGGUGAAUAUGUCCCUGCUCCUU
RNAcentral lists this ribosomal RNA (378 nucleotides) under uncultured Methanomicrobiales archaeon. RNAcentral's name for it is "bacterial SSU rRNA". It matches the Rfam family "Archaeal small subunit ribosomal RNA", at positions 962 to 1338 of the family's 1478-position model. Lineage: Archaea; Methanobacteriati; Methanobacteriota; Methanomicrobia; Methanomicrobiales. The record is from RNAcentral.